Molecule: transfer RNA, 65 nt
Filed under: Fidelibacterota bacterium
Lineage: Bacteria; Pseudomonadati; Fidelibacterota
Description: tRNA-Arg
Rfam family: tRNA
About the family: Transfer RNA (tRNA) molecules are approximately 80 nucleotides in length. Their secondary structure includes four short double-helical elements and three loops (D, anti-codon, and T loops).
Source: RNAcentral
CGGUAGCUCAACCGGAUAGAGCAACGGCCUUCUAAGCCGUAGGUUACUGGUUCGAGUCCAGUCCG